RNAcentral lists this long non-coding RNA (758 nucleotides) under Homo sapiens (human). RNAcentral describes it as "HSALNT0005884". The record is from RNAcentral. Lineage: Eukaryota; Metazoa; Chordata; Mammalia; Primates; Hominidae.
UGCCUCAGCGUCCUGGAGUCGUCUCGGUUCGCCCUUUUGCGUGCCUUCCACCGCCGCGAGCUCGGAAUGUCUGGCCCCGGGUGCUUCAGGGUCCGAGAACCUGCAGAAGUUCACACUUAAAUCCUACACGAGAGUCGUAUUUAUGAUGCAGAACUCGGUGCAGAACCCGAUGGAGUGCCCAAGGCGCUUGAGCCGUUCCUAGAAGGGGAAGGAGAGCCGCGGGCGGCAGCGGGGCAGGGGACGGAAUUGGGAAGCUUGGGAGCAGGAAGAAGGCCAGAGCUACUUAGGAUGGAGAAACGGAGGCCCAGGGAAGGGAUGUGCCCGAGGUCAUACAAAGAAGUUUGUGGGAAUCCAGGUCUGACUCGCACUCAAUCUAGUGCUCUAAUAAUGACUUGAGUGAAUUGUAUGAAUGUGCUCAGAGGUGGAGCAGCAAUCAUAAAAGUAAUAAUGGUACCAUUUAUGGACCAUCUAACUACUGUGUUAAAACAAUUUACAGGCCAUGCGCGGUGGCUCACGCUUGUAAUCCCAGCACUUUGGGAGGCCGAGGCGGGCAGAUCACGAAGUCAGAAGAUCGAGACCAUCCUGGCUAACACGGUGAAACCCCGUCUUUACUAAAAAUACAAAAAAUUAGCCGGGCUUGGUGGCGGGCGCCUGUAGUUCCAGCUACUCGAGAGGCUGAGGCAGGAGAAUGGCGUGAACCCGGGAGGCGGAGCUUGCAGUGAGCCGAGAUCGAGCCACUGCACUCCAGCCUGGGCAAC